This 664-nucleotide ribosomal RNA is filed under the name Salinicola sp. RNAcentral describes it as "bacterial SSU rRNA". It matches the Rfam family "Bacterial small subunit ribosomal RNA", at positions 360 to 1016 of the family's 1533-position model. The record is from RNAcentral. Lineage: Bacteria; Pseudomonadati; Pseudomonadota; Gammaproteobacteria; Oceanospirillales; Halomonadaceae.
AAUAUUGGACAAUGGGCGAAAGCCUGAUCCAGCCAUGCCGCGUGUGUGAAGAAGGCUUUCGGGUUGUAAAGCACUUUCAGCGAGGAAGAAAGCCUCUGGGCCAAUACCCCAGAGGAAGGACAUCACUCGCAGAAGAAGCACCGGCUAACUCCGUGCCAGCAGCCGCGGUAAUACGGAGGGUGCGAGCGUUAAUCGGAAUUACUGGGCGUAAAGCGCGCGUAGGUGGCUUGGCACGCCGGUUGUGAAAGCCCCGGGCUCAACCUGGGAACUGCAUCCGGAACGGCCAGGCUAGAGUGCAGGAGAGGAAGGUAGAAUUCCCGGUGUAGCGGUGAAAUGCGUAGAGAUCGGGAGGAAUACCAGUGGCGAAGGCGGCCUUCUGGCCUGACACUGACACUGAGGUGCGAAAGCGUGGGUAGCAAACAGGAUUAGAUACCCUGGUAGUCCACGCCGUAAACGAUGUCGACUAGCCGUUGGGACCUUUAAGGACUUAGUGGCGCAGUUAACGCGAUAAGUCGACCGCCUGGGGAGUACGGCCGCAAGGUUAAAACUCAAAUGAAUUGACGGGGGCCCGCACAAGCGGUGGAGCAUGUGGUUUAAUUCGAUGCAACGCGAAGAACCUUACCUACCCUUGACAUCCAGAGAAGUUGGCAGAGAUGCCUUCGUG